Molecule: transfer RNA, 84 nt
Filed under: Agelas schmidtii (Pipes of Pan sponge)
Lineage: Eukaryota; Metazoa; Porifera; Demospongiae; Agelasida; Agelasidae
Description: tRNA-Ser
Rfam family: tRNA
About the family: Transfer RNA (tRNA) molecules are approximately 80 nucleotides in length.
Source: RNAcentral
GAGGGGAUGGCUGAGAUGGUAAAGCAGCGGCUUGCUAAGCUGUCUAGGUAAAACUUUGCACGGGUUCGAGCCCCGUUCCCCUCG